This 643-nucleotide ribosomal RNA is filed under the name uncultured Actinomycetes bacterium. Its description in RNAcentral is "bacterial SSU rRNA". It matches the Rfam family "Bacterial small subunit ribosomal RNA", at positions 232 to 885 of the family's 1533-position model. The record is from RNAcentral. Lineage: Bacteria; Bacillati; Actinomycetota; Actinomycetes.
CGCGGCCUAUCAGCUUGUUGGUGGGGUAGUGGCCUACCAAGGCGACGACGGGUAGCCGGCCUGAGAGGGUGACCGGCCACACUGGGACUGAGACACGGCCCAGACUCCUACGGGAGGCAGCAGUGGGGAAUAUUGCGCAAUGGGCGGAAGCCUGACGCAGCGACGCCGCGUGGGGGAUGACGGCCUUCGGGUUGUAAACCUCUUUCAGCAGGGACGAAGCGGAAGUGACGGUACCUGCAGAGGAAGCACCGGCCAACUACGUGCCAGCAGCCGCGGUAAUACGUAGGGUGCAAGCGUUGUCCGGAAUUAUUGGGCGUAAAGAGCUCGUAGGCGGUUUGUUGCGUCGGCUGUGAAAUCCCGAGGCUCAACCUCGGGUCUGCAGUCGAUACGAGCAAACUAGAGUGUUGCAGGGGAGACUGGAAUUCCUGGUGUAGCGGUGAAAUGCGCAGAUAUCAGGAGGAACACCGGUGGCGAAGGCGGGUCUCUGGGCAACAACUGACGCUGAGGAGCGAAAGCGUGGGGAGCGAACAGGAUUAGAUACCCUGGUAGUCCACGCCGUAAACGUUGGGCGCUAGGUGUGGGGCUCAUUCCACGAGUUCCGUGCCGCAGCUAACGCAUUAAGCGCCCCGCCUGGGGAGUACGG